RNAcentral lists this ribosomal RNA (301 nucleotides) under uncultured Bacillus sp. Its description in RNAcentral is "bacterial SSU rRNA". The stretch from base 63 to 301 matches the Rfam family "Bacterial small subunit ribosomal RNA", at positions 557 to 795 of the family's 1533-position model. Lineage: Bacteria; Bacillati; Bacillota; Bacilli; Caryophanales; Bacillaceae. The record is from RNAcentral.
CGCGAAAUGCGCGCAAGAUGCCGGGGGAAGAAGGAGUGGGCUAGAGGUUAGCGGACGUGCGUGGCGGAAAGCGCACGUAGGGUGAUUGUUAAGUCGGGGUGGAAAACCUGUAUCGUAACUCAAGAACUGCCUUCGAUACUUGAGAGCUCGAGUUCGGGAGAUGGGAGUGGAACGGCGAGUGUAGAGGUGAAAUUCGUAGAUAUUCGCAAGAACACCAGUGGCGAAGGCGGCUCACUGGCCCGAUACUGACGCUGAGGUGCGAAAGCGUGGGGAGCAAACAGGAUUAGAUACCCUUGUAGUC